AGCAGCCGCGGUAAUUCCAGCUCCUAUAGCGUAUAUUAAAGUUGUUACAGUUAAAAAGCUCGUAGUUGAAUUUCGGGGUUAGUAGGUUGGUCAUGCCACUGGUAUGUACUGGUCUCACUGAUUCCUCCUUCCUGAUGAACCGUAAUGCCAUUAAUUUGGUGUUGCGGGGAGACUGGACUGUUACUUUGAAAAAAUUAGGGUGUUUAAAGCAGGCUAACGCUUGAAUACAUUAGCAUGGAAUAAUGAAAUAGGACGUUCGAUCCUAUUUUGUUGGUUUCUAGGAUUGACGUAAUGAUUAAUAGGGAUAGUUGGGGGCAUUAGUAUUCAAUUGUCAGAGGUGAAAUUCUUGGAUUUAUUGAAGACUAACUACUGCGAAAGCAUUUGCCAAGGAUGUUUUCAUUAAUCAAGAACGAAAGUUAGGGGAUCGAAGACGAUCAGAUACCGUCGUAGUCUUAACCAUAAACUAUGCCGGCUAGGGAUCGGAUGAUGUUAAUUUUUAAUGACUCAUUCGGCGCCUUAC
Molecule: ribosomal RNA, 520 nt
Filed under: uncultured Glomus
Lineage: Eukaryota; Fungi; Glomeromycota; Glomeromycetes; Glomerales; Glomeraceae
Description: SSU rRNA
Rfam family: Eukaryotic small subunit ribosomal RNA
Source: RNAcentral